RNAcentral lists this long non-coding RNA (204 nucleotides) under Lupinus angustifolius (narrow-leaved blue lupine). RNAcentral's name for it is "long non-coding RNA (LANG_LNC000093)". The record is from RNAcentral. Lineage: Eukaryota; Viridiplantae; Streptophyta; Magnoliopsida; Fabales; Fabaceae.
CCAGGAUAAAACAGCCCAGAUCUUUGUUAUCGAAUUCUUACUGCACUGUAAGAACUGAUCUCCAAUACACCCACCGCAAUAUUGCUACCAGUGGCAAUUUUCGAAAUUACCCACAAUAUGGCUACCCGUACCAAUUCACUUUCCACAAUACUGACUGCUAGUGUCAGUUCUCGAAAUGUCCACAAUAUGGCUGUCUGGGCCAAU